Molecule: ribosomal RNA, 429 nt
Filed under: uncultured bacterium
Lineage: Bacteria
Description: bacterial SSU rRNA
Rfam family: Bacterial small subunit ribosomal RNA
Source: RNAcentral
UCGAGGAUCUUUAGCAAUGGGCGAAAGCCUGACUAUGCGACGCCGCGUGAGGGAUGAAGGUUUUCGGAUCGUAAACCUCUUUCGAUGGGAAAGAAGCUCAACAUAUAAAUAGUAUGUUGGGUUGACGGUACCCAGAGAAGAAGCCACGGCCAACUCCGUGCCAGCAGCCGCGGUAAUACGGGGGUGGCAAGCGUUACUCGGAUUUAUUGGGUGUAAAGGGCAGGUAGGCGUUCUACCAAGUUAGAAGUGAAAUCCUGUGGCUCAACCACAGAACUGCUUCUAAAACUGGCAGAAUUGAGGCUAGAAGAGGAGAGCGGAAUUCCCGGUGUAAGGGUGAAAUCUGUAGAUAUCGGGAGGAACACCAGUGGCGAAAGCGGCUCUCUAGUCUAGAUCUGACGCUAAGCUGCGAAAGCUAGGGGAGCAAACAGG